Molecule: long non-coding RNA, 456 nt
Organism: Capsicum annuum
Lineage: Eukaryota; Viridiplantae; Streptophyta; Magnoliopsida; Solanales; Solanaceae
Exons: 3
Source: RefSeq, a predicted model, not a curated record
GAAUGUUUUCCCUAUUUUGGAUUUUACCAAAUAUAACGCACAUCGAAAAAGUCAUAGGUUUUCUCACUUUCUUACAACCUUUGACAAGACAUUAGAGCAAAGCAAGAACAAAAGAAAAUGACAACAUCAAAAAGAGUUGCAGAGAGGAAAGUGGCUAAGUUUGAGAAGAACAUAACAAGAAGAGGAUUGAACAUAACAGGGAAGAACAAAAUGGAACCAGCACACAUUGUUCUUGCACUCUUUGCUGUUUUGGUCAUUGGAUCAUUUAUUUUCCAGGUGGUGAAGAUGGCUAUUAAUGGUGGGAACAAUGAAGAUUGAAGCUUUUAGUUUCUUCUUCUCAAGAAUGCUACAUUAAGAAAUCUUAUAAAAAUCUAUAUUUUCAAACAAACUAUAAAUAAUUUUGUUACAACAUUCUCUCUUGCUUUGUUGUACUAACUUGUUAUGUUAAUUUCUUUU